Molecule: regulatory RNA element, 104 nt
Rfam family: Termite-flg RNA
Source: Rfam
GUCCGUUUCGUACUGCAGAAGGAAGCUCCAAAAGCAGCGGCGCGAACCUGCUUCUGUCUUCCCCACCUGAGGUACGGCUAAGGCUAGGGACAGCCUUGGUAUUA